Molecule: ribosomal RNA, 468 nt
Filed under: uncultured bacterium
Lineage: Bacteria
Description: partial 16S ribosomal RNA
Rfam family: Bacterial small subunit ribosomal RNA
Source: RNAcentral
GACGAACGCUGGCGGCGUGCUUAACACAUGCAAGUCGAACGGAAAGGCCCGGCUUUUGGGGGGUGCUCGAGUGGCGAACGGGUGAGUAACAAGUGAGUAACCUGCCCUUGACUUUGGGAUAACUUCAGGAAACUGGGGCUAAUACCGGAUAGGAGCUCCUGCUGCAUGGUGGGGGUGGGAAAGUUUCGGCGGUUGGGGAUGGUCUCGCGGCUUAUCAGCUGGUUGGUGGGGUAGUGGCUUACCAAGGCUUUGACGGGUAGCCGGCCUGAGAGGGUGACCGGCCACAGUGGGACUGAGAUACGGCCCAGACUGCUACGGGAGGCAGCAGUGGGGAAUAUUGCACGAUGGGCGGAAGCCUUAUGCAGCAACGCCGCGUGCGGGAUGACGGCCUUCGGGUUGUAAACCGCUUUCGCCUGUGACGAAGCGUGAGUGACGGUAAUGGGUAAAGAAGCACCGGCUAACUACGUG